This 530-nucleotide ribosomal RNA is filed under the name Colletotrichum horii. Its description in RNAcentral is "eukaryotic LSU rRNA". The stretch from base 186 to 339 matches the Rfam family "5.8S ribosomal RNA". Lineage: Eukaryota; Fungi; Ascomycota; Sordariomycetes; Glomerellales; Glomerellaceae. The record is from RNAcentral.
GGAGGGAUCAUUACUGAGUUUACGCUCUACAACCCUUUGUGAACAUACCUAUAACUGUUGCUUCGGCGGGCAGGGUCUCCGUGACCCUCCCGGCCUCCCGCCCCCGGGCGGGUCGGCGCCCGCCGGAGGAUAACCAAACUCUGAUUUAACGACGUUUCUUCUGAGUGGUACAAGCAAAUAAUCAAAACUUUUAACAACGGAUCUCUUGGUUCUGGCAUCGAUGAAGAACGCAGCGAAAUGCGAUAAGUAAUGUGAAUUGCAGAAUUCAGUGAAUCAUCGAAUCUUUGAACGCACAUUGCGCCCGCCAGCAUUCUGGCGGGCAUGCCUGUUCGAGCGUCAUUUCAACCCUCAAGCUCUGCUUGGUGUUGGGGCCCUACAGCCGAUGUAGGCCCUCAAAGGUAGUGGCGGACCCUCCCGGAGCCUCCUUUGCGUAGUAACUUUACGUCUCGCACUGGGAUCCGGAGGGACUCUUGCCGUAAAACCCCCAAUUCUCCAAAGGUUGACCUCGGAUCAGGUAGGAAUACCCGCUG